Molecule: long non-coding RNA, 1101 nt
Filed under: Heterocephalus glaber (naked mole-rat)
Lineage: Eukaryota; Metazoa; Chordata; Mammalia; Rodentia; Bathyergidae
Description: lncRNA (ENSHGLG00100049252.1)
Source: RNAcentral
CACAGUUUUCCAAAACCUACUGACUUGUGGACAAAUGGUACCAUUCUUCUACAGGCUGCCCCUUGCUUGUCCCCUGCAGUGGCCUCUUCCUUGAGCCGCACAGCCAGGACUCAUCAAGGUCCCCUCUCCUGCACUGACUUAGACCCUCCGGCUCCCUCUUACAAGCCCCCUUGUGAGGACACUGGGCUCACCAGACACUCCAGGAUCGUGCCCCACCUCGGGACCCGGCCUUAAUCACAUCCACACAGGCGCUGCUGCCCUGUGAGCCCAUGGCCACAUAAGCUUUCCUCCAUCCUCCACCCUUCACUGCCUCCAUCUUCCUUUUCCUCCUUCUUUCUCCUUCCACCUCCCCCUUUUCCUUUUCUUUCUUUUAAAAAAGGAAAUGGAAUUAUAUCAAUCAUGUGGCUUUGAAAUCUGUCUUUUUACUUAGCAAAAUUGGGAGCUCUUUUCUCACUUAGUGGUCAGAGUAUUUUUUAGUUGUACAGAUACCAAAUAUUGUACUUAAUGCGUUUUGUAAAUGUAUUGUUGGGAUGUUUCUUUGUCCCAGACACUGAAGGACCCUGUUAGCAAGACAGACUCACUCCAUAUUGCUGCUUGACCCACCUGCCUGCCCUUUAGAUAAACUCAGAAGGAGGAAGCUUAAAAACCUCCUCCCCUUAGAAAGUCUCUUUAGAAAUAACAAUUAAUCAACUGUUGUUUUACAAAUGUUCUAACAGCAGGACGUUCCGCUUCUGUACCUUUUGCUUGCUUUACUAGUUCUAUCCCAUAGGGGGGCCUAGAAACUGUUGGCCUCAAAGGUGUAUAAAACAUGUUUGUCUCCCCCGAGUCGGAGCUCGAGUCCGAUGCUCGGCUUGGGUCCUGGCCGGUAAUAAACUCCUGUGUGGAUUUAAUAUCGGUCUCUGGUUGGUUCUCUCUCGCUGGGUGUAACAACAUAAUUGCAAUUUGUCUUUCUUGGCAUGAAUUUCUCAUGCUGAAAUGCCGUAAACAAAGGACUCCCCAGGUAUUCUGACUGCGGCGUGCCAUUUAGUCCUAAGUACUGACAAGCUGACACCCUUUAGCGCUUUCCGGAGCUGUGUUUCUUACGGAAGCUCCAUGUGAAGG